UGGGGAAUUUUGGACAAUGGGCGAAAGCCUGAUCCAGCAAUGCCGCGUGUGUGAAGAAGGCCUUCGGGUUGUAAAGCACUUUUGUCCGGAAAGAAAUCCUUGGCUCUAAUACAGUCGGGGGAUGACGGUACCGGAAGAAUAAGCACCGGCUAACUACGUGCCAGCAGCCGCGGUAAUACGUAGGGUGCAAGCGUUAAUCGGAAUUACUGGGCGUAAAGCGUGCGCAGGCGGUUUGCUAAGACCGAUGUGAAAUCCCCGGGCUCAACCUGGGAACUGCAUUGGUGACUGGCAGGCUAGAGUAUGGCAGAGGGGGGUAGAAUUCCGCGUGUAGCAGUGAAAUGCGUAGAGAUGUGGAGGAAUACCGAUGGCGAAGGCAGCCCCCCUGGGCCAAUACUGACGCUCAUGCACGAAAGCGUGGGGAGCAAACAGGAUUAGAUACCCUGGUAGUCCACGCCCUAAACGAUGUCAACUAGUUGUUGGGGAUUCAUUUCCUUAGUAACGUAGCUAACGCGUGAAGUUGACCGCCUGGGGGAGUACGGUCGCAAGAUUAAAACUUAAAUGAAUUGACGGGGUCAUAGCUGUUUCCU
Molecule: ribosomal RNA, 587 nt
Filed under: uncultured bacterium
Lineage: Bacteria
Description: partial 16S ribosomal RNA
Rfam family: Bacterial small subunit ribosomal RNA
Source: RNAcentral